This 342-nucleotide ribosomal RNA is filed under the name uncultured bacterium. RNAcentral's name for it is "bacterial SSU rRNA". It matches the Rfam family "Bacterial small subunit ribosomal RNA", at positions 103 to 475 of the family's 1533-position model. The record is from RNAcentral.
CGGGUGAGUAACACGUGAGAAUUUGCCUUUAGGAGGGGGAUAACAGAGUGAAAACGCUGCUAAUACCCCAUAUGCUUUCGAGUGAAAUGGAUUUAUUCGCCUAAAGAGAAGCUCGCGGCUGAUUAGCUUGUUGGUAAGGUAAUGGCUUACCAAGGCGACGAUCAGUAUCUGGUUUGAGAGGACGAUCAGACACACUGGAACUGAGACACGGUCCAGACUCCUACGGGAGGCAGCAGUGGGGAAUUUUCCGCAAUGGGCGAAAGCCUGACGGAGCAAUACCGCGUGAGGGAUGACUGCCUAUGGGUUGUAAACCUCUUUUCUCAGGGAGGAAAUCAAUGACGU